CACAGGAAAACACAAGGAAGAAGGGUGGAAAGACAAAGGUUGCCUCUAGAUUUUGAUUUUGAAGCCCUGAGAUGUGACCAUCAAAACUGAGAUGCCUUCUCCAGGAGGUGCUGGAUAUCAGAGUCUAGAAAGAGUCUUGGAGAAGAAGAGGAGGCCGUGUCUGUGCACGAAUGCAAAACAGUUGAUGUGAGAAUUGAUGCUUAUCCUAAUUAACUGAGUGAAAGCAAAUUCAAUUUGUCUGGCAAAUAUGUGCAUGUUGAAUUCAGUUUACUUUAUAAUGCUUUGAGUUUAACCCUGUUAAAGGACUGUGAUCCAGGGCAGAAUGCCUGGAAGUAAAUGGAGACUUCAGCAGUGAGGGGUCUGUCCCCAUCUGAGAAAAAACAGGAGGAAAUGUAGAAUAAAAGACAAGGCAAAGAAUUCCCAGCUUUGCUGUGUGGCAACCAGUUUUAAAACAGACUGAUUGUCAAGUUCAAAAAAUAGUCAAUGUUUAGAGAUCUACAGACAACAGAUCUUUAGCCCUUUCUGGCUUUGCAUGCACAGAGAUGACAUCAAACAUGAUGUGUUUGCCCUGCUGGCUGGGGGACACGACAGAGGGGUUGGCAGGCCUUGCAGAUAGCUGGUGUUUUAGCCUGAGAGCUUAAAAGAAGGUGAACUUAUUCACACAAAAAUCAACCUUGUAUUGAGUCCUGUCAUUCAUAGUUUCUCUAAAAGCUCUUUGAUUCAGAGGAAGUUUUUAUGUUGUUUUCUAAUUUGUAUCUUCUGGA
Zonotrichia leucophrys gambelii is the source of this 764-nucleotide long non-coding RNA. RefSeq lists it as uncharacterized. The record is from RefSeq and is a predicted model, not a curated record. Lineage: Eukaryota; Metazoa; Chordata; Aves; Passeriformes; Passerellidae. The transcript is spliced from 3 exons.